RNAcentral lists this ribosomal RNA (253 nucleotides) under uncultured bacterium. RNAcentral describes it as "partial 16S ribosomal RNA". It matches the Rfam family "Bacterial small subunit ribosomal RNA", at positions 524 to 776 of the family's 1533-position model. The record is from RNAcentral.
UACAGAGGGUGCGAGCGUUAAUCGGAGUUACUGGGCGUAAAGGGCGCGUAGGCGGUUUGUUAAGUCAGUUGUGAAAGCCCAGGGCUCAACCUUGGAACUGCAAUUGAUACUGGCCGACUAGAGUCGAAGAGAGGGAAGCGGAAUUUCCGGUGUAGCGGUGAAAUGCGUAGAUAUCGGAAGGAACACCUGUGGCGAAGGCGGCUUCCUGGCUUCAGACUGACGCUGAGGCGCGAAAGCGUGGGGAGCAAACAGG